RNAcentral lists this ribosomal RNA (485 nucleotides) under uncultured Gammaproteobacteria bacterium. Its description in RNAcentral is "bacterial SSU rRNA". It matches the Rfam family "Bacterial small subunit ribosomal RNA", at positions 30 to 507 of the family's 1533-position model. Lineage: Bacteria; Pseudomonadati; Pseudomonadota; Gammaproteobacteria. The record is from RNAcentral.
AUUGAACGCUGGCGGCAGGCCUAACACAUGCAAGUCGAACGUGAAAGCUCCUUCGGGAGUGAGUAGAGUGGCGAACGGGUGAGUAACGCGUAGGAAUCUACCCAAGAGUGGGGGACAACCCGGAGAAAUCCGGGCUAAUACCGCAUACGCCCUACGGGGUAAAGUGGGGGACCUUUCGAGGCCUCAUGCUUUUGGAUGAGCCUGCGUCGGAUUAGCUUGUUGGUGGGGUAACGGCCUACCAAGGCAACGAUCCGUAGCUGGUCUGAGAGGAUGACCAGCCACACUGGGACUGAGACACGGCCCAGACUCCUACGGGAGGCAGCAGUGGGGAAUAUUGGACAAUGGGGGCAACCCUGAUCCAGCCAUGCCGCGUGUGUGAAGAAGGCCUUCGGGUUGUAAAGCACUUUCAGUAGGGAAGAAAAGCCUAAGGUUAAUAACUUUGGGUAUUGACGGUACCUACACAAGAAGCACCGGCUAAUUCCGUG